RNAcentral lists this transfer RNA (67 nucleotides) under Pyrgacris descampsi. RNAcentral's name for it is "tRNA-Gly". The record is from RNAcentral. Lineage: Eukaryota; Metazoa; Arthropoda; Insecta; Orthoptera; Pyrgacrididae.
GUCUUUCUAGUAUAUUAGUACAGUUGACUUCCAAUCAACAAGAUUGAUAAUUAAUUCAAGAAAAACA